AGUGAACGCUGGCGGUAGGCCUAACACAUGCAAGUCGAGCGGCAGCACAGUAAGAGCUUGCUCUUACGGGUGGCGAGUGGCGGACGGGUGAGGAAUACAUCGGAAUCUACUUUUUCGUGGGGGAUAACGUAGGGAAACUUACGCUAAUACCGCAUACGACCUACGGGUGAAAGCAGGGGAUCUUCGGACCUUGCGCGAUUGAAUGAGCCGAUGUCGGAUUAGCUAGUUGGCGGGGUAAAGGCCCACCAAGGCGACGCUCCGUAGCUGGUCUGAGAGGAUGAUCAGCCACACUGGAACUGAGACACGGUCCAGACUCCUACGGGAGGCAGCAGUGGGGAAUAUUGGACAAAGGGCGCAAGCCUGAUCCAGCCAUACCGCGUGGGUGAAGAAGGCCUUCGGGUUGUAAAGCCCUUUUGUUGGGAAAGAAAAGCAGCAGGUUAAUACCCCGCUGUUCUGACGGUACCCAAAGAAUAAGCACCGGCUAACUUCGUG
This 492-nucleotide ribosomal RNA is filed under the name uncultured bacterium. RNAcentral describes it as "partial 16S ribosomal RNA". It matches the Rfam family "Bacterial small subunit ribosomal RNA", at positions 29 to 507 of the family's 1533-position model. The record is from RNAcentral.